UUAAGUUCCUGCGGUUGCCGGAUCCUUUUGAUAUAUAUUUAAAUUCUCAACUAAACACUUGUGAAGUGGACAUUGUAGGUACAUGCUACAGUUGAAAAACCUGAGUUCUCAGAUUGGCUAAGGAACUUGCUGGAGAUUCAAACCCUGGGCUGUCUGAUUUCAAAGGCUGUAGUCUUUCUACUGUGCCAUUCUGCUUGUCCCCUCUGGAAGGAGCGAGAAGGAGGGUUUGACUUCGUGCAUGUGCAUUCACUGCUGGGGAGAAAAACUUCAAGUACACGGCAAUGGGAGAAGCUGCUAGGUCUCUCUUGACCUCAGUGAGCCCCAGCAAUCACCAACCAAGGAAGGGGCCCAGGGAGCCUCUUCCAGUCCAGAAGUCUUCUCUUCAUCCCUUUCUCUGCGGCAAGACCAACUGUCAGAGCCUCCACAGCCUGAGGGCCUGGGUGGCGUGACCCCUGCAGAAUAGGGGGAGCAGAGGGAAAGCUAGGCAUUGACGUCCCUGGUUUUACUUCUGCUUCUUGAGUAGUUGUGUGACCCUGGGCAAAUUGUCAACCUCUCUGAGUCUCUACUCUCUCAUCUGUAAAAUCGAGACAGUUAUCUCCCCUCGGGUCUUGGGGUGGAGUUUUGCUAUAUUGCCCAGGCUGAUCUUGAAUUUCCAGGCUUAAGUGAUCCUCCCACUUCGGCCUCCCCGAGUGCUGGGAUUACGGGCGUGAGCCACUGCACCCAGCUGUGCCUGGAACAAUUGAAAAGCAUGUGCCACUUGAGAUUCUGCAGAGAAAGAUAGGUAAUCAAGGUUGAAGAACUGAGGCAGGUAAGUGUAGGAUGGUGGAAGGAGUCCUGGCCUGGUGUGGGUCCAGUUUCUGUCUCCCUCUGCUGGUGAUCUCAGGCAAAUUCUUAGCCUCUCUGGGCUUGCGUCCUCACCUGUGAAAUGAAGAUUGUGAAUGGGUCAUUUCCAAAGCUGCUUCUAGUUGCAAGGUGCCCCCCAGCCCAGAGGAGCUAGCCCCUCUGUUGCUUUUCCCCACUCACAUGCAGCCUUCUCUCUGGUUGGACAAGCCGAGUGCAUUGCUUCACAGCCUCUUGCAGCCCUGCCAGGACCUAAGUCACCCAGGAAAGGCCUCACCCUUGAUCCUGGAGUGACCUCAACCACAUUCACUGUGUCUCAUCCUGUGUGGGGUUUGCAGGCUGCCCUCUUCGGCUUCCUCUGCCUCUCCUCCCAGCAUGCCCUCUUCUUCCUUUCCACAUUCUUCUCUCUUUCCCACACCCAGCAUCCUCCCAGCCACAUCGAUCAUGGCACCUGUCCCCUGUGUGAGGUCCUACCACCCGGAGACAGUGAAGCCCUCUCCUAGUGCCCCCUGCAUAAUAUUUGAGAAGAUGAGACCACAGACAGCAGUAGCAACUGCUAGCACCACCUCUGCAGGCUCUACAGGCCCAGUUACUGGAGGUCCAAGUUGAAAGUUGGGCUAGGACAGAGAGCUUUUGGGAUGAGGGGGGUGGGGAGCACACCACCCUCUGAAGUCAUUCAUUCCCUAGAGGGUCCAUCAACUCUGUUAAGACAGGGGUAACAUCUUAUUUAUAAAUCUGUCCCCUGCUCACAGUAUAGUGUGGGGGCACAGAAGAGGCACUUGGGGAGUGUUCUUGAAGGAUUGAGGAAGGAAUGAAUAAUAUUCUUUGAGCACCUAGUAUGUGCCAGGCACUGUUUCAGGUGCUGAGACAUGGCAGUGAACAAAUGAAGCAACAAUCCUAGUCCUGGUGGAGCUGGCAUUCUACGAAUGGUGGGGAAGGUUGGCAAACAACCUGGUAGUAUGUACCUUACUUAUCUACUGUGUUUAACAAUAGAUAGGUAAAGCAGACAGCAUGUGGGAGGGUGAUACAUGCUGUGUGGAGCAGAGGGGAGGAAAGCGGGAGAGAGGAGGCCAGGAGUACAAUGUACACUGAGCGGCCAAGGAAGGCCCCAUGGAGGGAGGCGGGGAAAUCAGUUCAUCUGCCGGUGCCCUAGUCCCAGCCCACAGCAUUUUGAUGUGACUGCCCUUUUUCUUUUUCUUUUCUUUUCUCUUCUCUUCUCUUUUUUCUUUGCUUUGCUUUGCUUUUCUGAGACUCAGUCUCACUCUGUUGCCCAGGCUGGAAUGCAAUGGCAUGAUCUCGGCUCACUGCAACCUCCACCUCCCGGGUUCAAGCAAUUCUUCCACCUCAGCCUCCCGACUAACUAGGACUACAGGCACCCACCACCAUGCCCAGCUAAUUUUUGUAUUUGUGUAGAGACGGGGUUUCACCAUGUUGGCCAGGCUGGUCUUGAACUCCUGACCUCAGGUGAUCCGCCAGCCUCGGCCUCCCAAAGUGCUGGGAUUAUAGGCGUGAGCCACCACGCCCAGCUGUGACUGCCCUUUUCUGAACACCCCAGGCAGCUGUCCCCUUCCUCAACUGCCCUUGGUAUUAGUAAAGGCCAAGCUCUCAGUUUCUCCCCUGGGUGGCCGGCAGUUUUAUUUCUGGUGCUCCUGGAAGAAAAAAUGGCCACUAUUCCAGAAGCCUAGGAAAAAUGUCCCCUCCCAGAACAUUCUGUCUCCAGCUCACAUAAGGCAUGGCCAGCAGCCUGCCCGCCCACCUCAGGCAAGGCCCAGGUGCUCUGCGGAGUGUCUGUCCUUGUGGGUAAAGGGGGCUGGGGCUAGAGGGGAUUGAUGAGACAGCGGGAGGGUGGAGGGCUCUCUCCCCACUCUCUCCUAUCCCAACCUCCACGUCAAGCAUUCAUACACUGUUUCUUCCUAGCGCUUCUCGUAUCUGUCUAUGGUGUCUUCCUACAUUAGAACAUCAGCACCCAAGGGCAAGGACACCUAGAAGAGAUCCUAGCUUGCGGUUGUUGCCCAUUAAUUAUUUUUCCAAUGGAAUGAAUGGAUGAAUGGAUUCUUUCAAUUUAUUCAGUUAUUUAAAACAUGUACGGAGCACCCACUGCACACAGCUCCAUAUCAGGCCCAAAUAACUAUAUAAGCAUGCCCCCCAGAUUUGCACCAUAGAAAAGGAGAUACAAGUUUGCCCCAGUGGUUAAAGCAGAAUGAGCACUUUCCUGUAUACCUGAGGAGAGCUUGAUGGGCCCUGGGGUGAUCAGGGUGGACUUCAUGGAAGAGGUGGACUUUGAUCUAGGAUUUGCAGGGCAGAUAAUAGGUAGACCUUCACCCUCUGCCCUUUGGCUUUUCUUGUCUCAUGUAUGCCCUACCACAUGAUUCCAGGCUACCUCCCUCUCCCCACCCCAGCUUGGUACUUCAGAUGACAACCCAGAGGUGGAAUUCUUGCCUUGUCCUCUGAGAUGGGGGUUUAAGAAACCUGCUGCUCAAGUCUAACAGGCCAGGCAGGGGUUUUCCUAAGGAACCGGCCUCUUCCUCCUAAAAUGUGUGUGCCUUGACAAGCAGGGAUGACUGACGGCUGGGACGCGAUGGUUCUUUCCCCAGCCAGGGAGAGGCAGGGUGUGGUAGCCACGUUGGCAGGCAGGGAGAUGGAUUUCGAGGCAAAGGUGGUUCAGGCUGUCUUUCUUCCAGGUGAGGUGGAGUCUCCCCUGCUCUGGUGUGGCUGUGUUGAGGGCGUGGUGCUGGGACUGUCCCUGCUAUCACCCUUCUCUCUACUCAUCCCUCUUGAUAGAUGACUGUUUGCAUCCUUGACAUCUCUGGCCUUGGUCCCACACGCAGCCUGAGGCUGUGGCGAGACACUAGGCCAGGACUCAGAAGUUCUUGGGGCUGGUCCCAGUUUCACAAAUUUUGUCAGAUCACACCCCCUGUCUGGGCCUGAUUUCCUUGAUUUGCAAAUGGGUGCCUCCGUGUCUGUGCUGCUCAGCUCUCAUUUUGCUGUGAUGCUCAAAGACCAUGCAGCUUGGUGCUUAGCACAGUGACCCAGAGGCUCUAGGAGGCCCGGGCUCCAGUCCCAGCCCUGCCACUUCCUAGCUGGGGGACCUUGGGCAAGCUGCUUAACUUCUCUGGGCCUUGGUUUCCCCAUCCAUACAGAGGGUGACAGGAGUACCUGGGAUGACCUUAAUGCAUAAUGAUGCUUUUAACCCCGAGACUGGUAGUAUGUACUUGAUGAAGUGGCAGCUUUUACUAUUUGCCACUAGAAAUGAAUGGGGGCUGAGCACAAUGGCUCAGGCCUGCAAUCUCAGCACUUUGGGAGGCUGAGGCAGGAGGAUUGCUUGAGCCCAGGAGUUCAAGACCAGCCUAGGCAAUAUGGUGAAACCUCAUCUCAAAAAAAAAGAAAAAAAGAAAAAUAAAAAGAAAAGAAGCAAUAGGAAAGUCUUUUGUAAACUGAAAAAUGUCACAAAUAUAAUUGGUGCUGCUUCUAUGACGGUGGGUAAUGGCAUUCCCCUCUGGUGCUCUCUGAAAAGUCUGCAAAGGCAGGGCCCAGGAGAGGGGGUCCCACGCCCUCCCUGGAGUUGGGAGCGGGGAUUAGGGCUGGGGGAAUGGGCUAGGGGCCCCGGGAAGCAGCUCUGGACAUGCCUCCAUCAUCUCUAGUCCCUCAAAGCCACAGACAGGGCUGCCUCCCCAUACUCAUGGGAGAUCUUCAGUGUAGGUGGCUUGUGGAGUGAGGGGAAAGGGUGUAGGUCUCUCUGCAAAACUCUCUUCCAUGACAACUUAUGGGAUCAAAAAUAAGAACAGCAAUAGUGGGGAACUGGACAUCAUGUGCUGCUCCCUGAUGGGCUGCUCCAAGAAGGACACAAUCCCAAAUGUGCUAUUCCUGCCAAAAAUGCAUACCCUGAAUUUAAUCACGCAGAAGCAGCAGACAAACUCAAAUUGAGGGAUAUUCUGCAAAACAACUGGUCUGGAGUCUUAAAAAGAAAUGUAGGUGUGAUGGAUGUCAAAAACAAACAAACAAACAAAAAACAAGGAGGGCAAAGAUUGUAGGCUAAAGAGACGUGACAAAUCCAUAAAAUGCUUUGAUUGAUUCUUGAUUGGCUCCUGGAUCAAGACAAAAUCUUAAAAAAAAACGCUAUUGGAACAACUGAGGAAAAGGAACUAAGAAUGGUAUAUUAACUAAUGGGAUUUAUUAAUGCAAAGUUUUUUAAGGGUUAUCAUUGUAUUGUUGUUAUAUGGGAGGCUGCUCUUUUUCCUAGGAGAUGCCUGGUUUCGAGGUAAAAUGUCAUAUGUCUCCAACACACACAAACAUAUAUACUGAGAGAAAUGAAACAAAAGUGGUGAAUCCAGGUGAAGGGUAUAUGCAUGUUCAUUGUGCUAUUCUUGCAACUUCUCUGUUGGCUUGAUAAUACGUAAAACAAAAAGUUGGGAGAAAAGCCAUUGUGGUGCUAUCAACCGGAGUCUCUGAUAUCUACUAGAAAAUAUCAGCCUAUCCAAGGCCGGGAGCAGAAGCCAAAGUCAGAGACCCAAGGCGAGUCCCACACACCCUCUACCUAAUU
Molecule: long non-coding RNA, 5380 nt
Filed under: Homo sapiens (human)
Lineage: Eukaryota; Metazoa; Chordata; Mammalia; Primates; Hominidae
Description: HSALNT0224375
Source: RNAcentral